RNAcentral lists this ribosomal RNA (480 nucleotides) under Streptomyces sp. RHS33. RNAcentral describes it as "bacterial SSU rRNA". It matches the Rfam family "Bacterial small subunit ribosomal RNA", at positions 52 to 554 of the family's 1533-position model. The record is from RNAcentral. Lineage: Bacteria; Bacillati; Actinomycetota; Actinomycetes; Kitasatosporales; Streptomycetaceae.
UACCUGCAGUCGACGAUGACCACUUCGGUGGGGAUUAGUGGCGAACGGGUGAGUAACACGUGGGCAAUCUGCCCUGCACUCUGGGACAAGCCCUGGAAACGGGGUCUAAUACCGGAUACUGAUCCUCGCAGGCAUCUGCGAGGUUCGAAAGCUCCGGCGGUGCAGGAUGAGCCCGCGGCCUAUCAGCUAGUUGGUGAGGUAACGGCUCACCAAGGCGACGACGGGUAGCCGGCCUGAGAGGGCGACCGGCCACACUGGGACUGAGACACGGCCCAGACUCCUACGGGAGGCAGCAGUGGGGAAUAUUGCACAAUGGGCGAAAGCCUGAUGCAGCGACGCCGCGUGAGGGAUGACGGCCUUCGGGUUGUAAACCUCUUUCAGCAGGGAAGAAGCGAAAGUGACGGUACCUGCAGAAGAAGCGCGGCUAACUACGUGCCAGCAGCCGCGGAAUACGUAGGGCGCAGCGUUGUCCGAAAUUAU